AUCCUGGCUCAGGAUGAACGCUAGCUACAAGGCUUUAACACAUGCAAGUCCGAGGGGAAACGAUAUUGGAAGCUUGCUUCUGAUAGGCGUCGACCGGCGCACGGGUGAGUAACGCGUAUCCAACCUGCCCAUCACUUGGGGAUAACCUUGCGAAAGUAAGACUAAUACCCAAUGACGUCUCUAGAAGACAUCUGAAAGAGAUUAAAGAUUUUAUCGGUGAUGGAUGGGGAUGCGUCUGAUUAGCUUGUUGGCGGGGUAACGGCCCACCAAGGCGACGAUCAGUAGGGGUUCUGAGAGGAAGGUCCCCCACAUUGGAACUGAGACACGGUCCAAACUCCUACGGGAGGCAGCAGUGAGGAAUAUUGGUCAAUGGACGAGAGUCUGAACCAGCCAAGUAGCGUGCAGGAUGACGGCCCUAUGGGUUGUAAACUGCUUUUAUAAGGGAAUAAAGUGGGAGUCGUGACUCUUUUUGCAUGUACCUUAUGAAUAAGGACCGGCUAAUUCCGUG
Molecule: ribosomal RNA, 508 nt
Filed under: uncultured bacterium
Lineage: Bacteria
Description: bacterial SSU rRNA
Rfam family: Bacterial small subunit ribosomal RNA
Source: RNAcentral